GAGAAAGAUUAUAAGAACUGCUAAUUCUUAGUUCCACACUUAAUACAUGUGGCUUUUUCA
RNAcentral lists this transfer RNA (60 nucleotides) under Hemiechinus auritus (long-eared hedgehog). RNAcentral's name for it is "tRNA-Ser (AGY)". The record is from RNAcentral. Lineage: Eukaryota; Metazoa; Chordata; Mammalia; Eulipotyphla; Erinaceidae.